GGACAUGUGGCUUAAUUUGACUCAACGCGGGAAAUCUUACCAGGUCCGGACACACUGAGGAUUGACAGGAAGUAUCGUCUUUUGAAUUCUUUAAGGAUAUGUCGUUUUUAAUGACAUCUUUUAGAUGGAUGAUUCGUGUAAAUAUGCUAGUUCUUUCAUGAUUAUGUGAUAGGUGGUGCAUGGCCGUUCUUAGUUCGUGGAGUGAUCUGUCUGCUUAAUUGCGUUUCACUAAGGCCCCAAAGUUAGCAAAUUAUCAAUCGUUACAGAGUCGACCCCUCACCUUUGAGUGCGCGUCCUAACUUGUAGUACAUGGUGUAAAUGGAUUUGUUUUGGGUACCCAGAAAGCAACGAACGUGACCGCAACGUCUUGUUGUCUCUCUUUGACAGUUAUGGGUUAUCCCAGUCAUGUGUUUAUACUUUUAUGUGUAAAUACGUACGACACAGAGACUAGAUACCAAACUAGGCGUACCGCUGUAUCAUUUCUUUAAACCAGAGGAAGGUUGCGGCAAUAACAG
Molecule: ribosomal RNA, 515 nt
Filed under: Neogloboquadrina incompta
Lineage: Eukaryota; Foraminifera; Rotaliida; Globorotaliidae
Description: bacterial SSU rRNA
Rfam family: Eukaryotic small subunit ribosomal RNA
Source: RNAcentral